Molecule: ribosomal RNA, 435 nt
Filed under: uncultured bacterium
Lineage: Bacteria
Description: partial 16S ribosomal RNA
Rfam family: Bacterial small subunit ribosomal RNA
Source: RNAcentral
AACGAACGCUGGCGGCAUGCCUAACACAUGCAAGUCGAACGAUUGCCUUCGGGUGAUAGUGGCGCACGGGUGCGUAACGCGUGGGAAUCUGCCCUUAGGUUCGGAAUAACAGCUGGAAACGGCUGCUAAUACCGGAUGAUAUCGCGAGAUCAAAGAUUUAUCGCCUGAGGAUGAGCCCGCGUUGGAUUAGGUAGUUGGUGGGGUAAAGGCCUACCAAGCCGACGAUCCAUAGCUGGUCUGAGAGGAUGAUCAGCCACACUGGGACUGAGACACGGCCCAGAAUCCUACGGGAGGCAGCAGUGGGGAAUAUUGGACAAUGGGCGCAAGCCUGAUCCAGCAAUGACGGGUGAGUGAUGAAGGCCCUAGGGUUGUAAAGCUCAUUUACCCGGGAAGAUAAUGACUGUACCGGGAGAAUAAGCCCCGGCUAACUCCGUG